AUUGAACGCUGGCGGCAGGCCUAACACAUGCAAGUCGAGCGGAUGAAGGGAGCUUGCUCCUGGAUUCAGCGGCGGACGGGUGAGUAAUGCCUAGGAAUCUGCCUGGUAGUGGGGGAUAACGUCCGGAAACGGGCGCUAAUACCGCAUACGUCCUGAGGGAGAAAGUGGGGGAUCUUCGGACCUCACGCUAUCAGAUGAGCCUAGGUCGGAUUAGCUAGUUGGUGGGGUAAAGGCCUACCAAGGCGACGAUCCGUAACUGGUCUGAGAGGAUGAUCAGUCACACUGGAACUUGAACAAGGUCCCAACUCCUAAGGGAGGGAGCAGUGGGGAAAUUUGGGAAAAGGGGGAAAGGCUGAAGCAGGCACGCCGGGGGGGUGAAAAAAGUCUUUCGAGUUGAAAACCCUUUUAAGUGGGGAGAAAGGGAGUGAAGUUAACUCUUCGCUUUUUGACGGUACCCAAUAAAAAAAGCACCACUAACUUUGGG
RNAcentral lists this ribosomal RNA (484 nucleotides) under uncultured bacterium. Its description in RNAcentral is "partial 16S ribosomal RNA". It matches the Rfam family "Bacterial small subunit ribosomal RNA", at positions 30 to 507 of the family's 1533-position model. The record is from RNAcentral.